UACGGAGGAUCCAAGCGUUAUCCGGAUUAACUGGGCGUAAAGAGUUGCGUAGGUGGUAAUGUAAGCGAAUAGUGAAAUCUUGUGGCUCAACCAUAAACACAUUAUUCGAACUGCAUCACUCGAGAGCGAGAGAGGUCACUGGAAUUCCCUGUGUAGGAGUGAAAUCCGUAGAUAUAGGGAGGAACACCAAUGGCGUAGGCAGGUGACUGGCUCGUUUCUGACACUGAGGCACGAAAGCGUGGGGAGCGAACGGG
This 254-nucleotide ribosomal RNA is filed under the name uncultured prokaryote. Its description in RNAcentral is "partial 16S ribosomal RNA". It matches the Rfam family "Bacterial small subunit ribosomal RNA", at positions 524 to 776 of the family's 1533-position model. The record is from RNAcentral.